This 76-nucleotide microRNA precursor is filed under the name Notamacropus eugenii (tammar wallaby). RNAcentral describes it as "miRNA (ENSMEUG00000017974.1)". Lineage: Eukaryota; Metazoa; Chordata; Mammalia; Diprotodontia; Macropodidae. The record is from RNAcentral.
AGGAGCAGAACUGCCAGUGCCUCUUCCCUGGGGAACCCGGCACAUCCAGAGUAGAGGCAGGCUCUGGCAAGGGGGC